RNAcentral lists this ribosomal RNA (473 nucleotides) under uncultured bacterium. RNAcentral's name for it is "partial 16S ribosomal RNA". It matches the Rfam family "Bacterial small subunit ribosomal RNA", at positions 28 to 523 of the family's 1533-position model. The record is from RNAcentral.
GACGAACGCUGGCGGCGUGCUUUUCACAUGCAAGUCGAGCGAGAAACCUUCGGGUUUCUAGCGGCGGACGGGUGAGUAACACGUGGGUAACCUGCCUCAAAGAGGGGGAUAGCCUUCCGAAAGGAAGAUUAAUACCGCAUAAUAUUACAGUUUCGCAUGAAGCAGUAAUUAAAGGAGUAAUCCGCUUUGAGAUGGACCCGCGGCGCAUUAGCUAGUUGGAGAGGUAACGGCUCACCAAGGCAACGAUGCGUAGCCGACCUGAGAGGGUGAUCGGCCACAUUGGAACUGAGACACGGUCCAGACUCCUACGGGAGGCAGCAGUGGGGAAUAUUGCACAAUGGGCGAAAGCCUGAUGCAGCAACGCCGCGUGAGUGAUGAAGGUCUUCGGAUUGUAAAGCUCUGUCUCUUGCGAGCGUAAUUGACGGUACCAUUAGAAUAAGCCACGGCUAACUACGUGCCAGCAGCCGCCGUAA